This 249-nucleotide ribosomal RNA is filed under the name uncultured Luteolibacter sp. RNAcentral describes it as "partial 16S ribosomal RNA". It matches the Rfam family "Bacterial small subunit ribosomal RNA", at positions 355 to 596 of the family's 1533-position model. Lineage: Bacteria; Pseudomonadati; Verrucomicrobiota; Verrucomicrobiia; Verrucomicrobiales; Verrucomicrobiaceae. The record is from RNAcentral.
UCGAGAAUAAUUCACGAUGGGGGCAACCCUGAUGGUGCAACGCCGCGUGGAGGAUGACGGUCUUCGGAUUGUAAACUCCUGUCAUCCGGGAGGAAGACCUGGCUGUUAAUAGCAGACAGGGUUGAUCGUACCGGAAGAGGAAGGGACGGCUAACUUCGUGCCAGCAGCCGCGGUAAUACGACGGUCCCGAGCGUUGUUCGGAAUCCCUGGGCGUCAAGGGUGGGUAGGCGGCGUGGUAAGUCAGCUGUG